UCCGAAUUGGUGUAGUGGUUAACAUUGCCGCCUCUCACUAAAUCUGGAUUACGUACGCGGUCACGUGAUGUGCGCGGCAGCCAGGGGUUCGAUUCCCCUAUUCGGAA
Non-coding RNA from Mycena galericulata, 107 nucleotides. NCBI's taxonomy places the organism in Eukaryota, Fungi, Basidiomycota, Agaricomycetes, Agaricales, Mycenaceae. The record is from the annotation of a GenBank genome assembly.